GAUGACUAGGAAGACAGGAAGCA
RNAcentral lists this non-coding RNA (23 nucleotides) under Rattus norvegicus (Norway rat). The record is from RNAcentral. Lineage: Eukaryota; Metazoa; Chordata; Mammalia; Rodentia; Muridae.